UUCAAUAUGGCAGAAAAUAUGCAAUGAAUUUAAGCUUCAUAGAUGGGCUAAACAAUCCUAUUGAAA
This 66-nucleotide transfer RNA is filed under the name Aeolothrips indicus. RNAcentral describes it as "tRNA-Leu". The record is from RNAcentral. Lineage: Eukaryota; Metazoa; Arthropoda; Insecta; Thysanoptera; Aeolothripidae.